GUGGGGAAUUUUGGACAAUGGGGGCAACCCUGAUCCAGCCAUGCCGCGUGCGGGAAGAAGGCCUUCGGGUUGUAAACCGCUUUUGUCAGGGAAGAAAUCUCCUGGGCUAAUACCUCGGGGGGAUGACGGUACCUGGAGAAUAAGCACCGGCUAACUACGUGCCAGCAGCCGCGGUAAUACGUAGGGUGCAAGCGUUAAUCGGAAUUACUGGGCGUAAAGCGUGCGCAGGCGGUCGUGCAAGACAGAUGUGAAAUCCCCGGGCUCAACCUGGGAACUGCAUUUGUGACUGCACGACUGGAGUGCGGCAGAGGGGGAUGGAAUUCCGCGUGUAGCAGUGAAAUGCGUAGAUAUGCGGAGGAACACCGAUGGCGAAGGCAAUCCCCUGGGCCUGCACUGACGCUCAUGCACGAAAGCGUGGGGAGCAAACAGGAUUAGAAACCCCAGUAGUCC
RNAcentral lists this ribosomal RNA (450 nucleotides) under uncultured bacterium. RNAcentral describes it as "bacterial SSU rRNA". It matches the Rfam family "Bacterial small subunit ribosomal RNA", at positions 354 to 796 of the family's 1533-position model. The record is from RNAcentral.